This is a long non-coding RNA of Etheostoma spectabile (orangethroat darter), 116 nucleotides long. RefSeq lists it as uncharacterized. NCBI's taxonomy places the organism in Eukaryota, Metazoa, Chordata, Actinopteri, Perciformes, Percidae. The record is from RefSeq and is a predicted model, not a curated record. The transcript is spliced from 3 exons.
GUCGCUCUCUCACUGUUGACACUGUAGCCAAAACAACCGAUAGCGUAGGAUCCCAAAAUGGUGGACGGGCUCAGACACCUGCCAUAGCGUCACCUGACAACAACCUACCAUGACAA